AGAAACUUAGGAUAAUCUAAACCAAAGGCCUUCAAAGCCUUAAAUAAGAGUCAAACCCUCUUAGUUUCUG
This is a non-coding RNA of Tyto alba (common barn owl), 70 nucleotides long. Lineage: Eukaryota; Metazoa; Chordata; Aves; Strigiformes; Tytonidae. The record is from Rfam.